This 386-nucleotide ribosomal RNA is filed under the name uncultured bacterium. RNAcentral's name for it is "bacterial SSU rRNA". It matches the Rfam family "Bacterial small subunit ribosomal RNA", at positions 425 to 793 of the family's 1533-position model. The record is from RNAcentral.
GUAAAGUACUUUCAGUCGUGAGGAAGGCGGCGUCGUUAAUAGCGGCGUUGUUUUGACGUUAGCGACAGAAGAAAGCACCGGCUAACUCCGUGCCAGCAGCCGCGGUAAUACGGAGGGUGCGAGCGUUAAUCGGAAUUACUGGGCGUAAAGCGCAUGCAGGUGGUUUGUUAAGUCAGAUGUGAAAGACCCGGGGCGUCAACCUCGGAAUUGCAUUUGUAAACUAGGCAGACUAGAGUACUGUAGAGGGGGGUAGGAAUUUCUAGGUGUAGCGGUGAAAUAGCGUAGAGAUCUGAAGGAAUACCGGUGGCGAAGGCGGCCCCCUCGGACAGAUACUGACACUCAGAUGCGAAAGCGUGGGGAGCAAACAGGAUUAGAUACCCUGGUAG